GAUGAACGCUGGCGGCGUGCCUAAUACAUGCAAGUCGAGCGAACGGACGAGAAGCUUGCUUUUCUGAUGUUAGCGGCGGACGGGUGAGUAACACGUGGAUAACCUACCUAUAAGACUGGGAUAACUUCGGGAAACCGGAGCUAAUACCGGAUAAUAUUUUGAACCGCAUGGUUCAAAAGUGAAAGACGGUCUUGCUGUCACUUAUAGAUGGAUCCGCGCUGCAUUAGCUAGUUGGUAAGGUAACGGCUCACCAAGGCAACGAUGCAUAGCCGACCUGAGAGGGUGAUCGGCCACACUGGAACUGAGACACGGUCCAGACUCCUACGGGAGGCAGCAGUAGGGAAUCUUCCGCAAUGGGCGAAAGCCUGACGGAGCAACGCCGCGUGAGUGAUGAAGGUCUUCGGAUCGUAAAACUCUGUUAUUAGGGAAGAACAUAUGUAUAAGUAACUGUGCACAUCUUGACGGUACCUAAUCAGAAAGCCACGGCUAACUACGUG
This 497-nucleotide ribosomal RNA is filed under the name uncultured bacterium. RNAcentral's name for it is "partial 16S ribosomal RNA". It matches the Rfam family "Bacterial small subunit ribosomal RNA", at positions 28 to 507 of the family's 1533-position model. The record is from RNAcentral.